This is a small nucleolar RNA of Plectropomus leopardus (leopard coralgrouper), 102 nucleotides long. RefSeq annotates it as small nucleolar RNA SNORD89. Lineage: Eukaryota; Metazoa; Chordata; Actinopteri; Perciformes; Serranidae. The record is from RefSeq and is a predicted model, not a curated record.
GCUGGGAGAUGAUGUGAACAAAAGGCCGAAUUGUAGCGCCCAGGCAGAGUGUUCUCAGAGCGGCGCCCUGACAAAUACCCCAGAGCGUUCUCUGAUCCCAGC